UUACACAUGCAAGUCUCAGCACACCCGUGAGAACGCCCUUCAAACCUUUACCAGGUCAAGGAGCUGGCAUCAGGCACUCUACCCUGCCCAUAACGCCUAGUCUUACCACACCCUUAAGGGUAAUCAGCAGUGAUAGAUCUUGUGUAUAAGCAACAGCUUGACUCAGUUAAAGAAAAGAGGGCUGGCUAACCCGGUGCCAGCCGCCGCGGCUACACCGCUGGAGCCCAAGUUAAUAACAACCGGCGUUAAGCGUGAUUAAAGUUUUGUAAAAUUAGAGUUAAAUUAAUACUUAGCAGUGACAAGCUUGUUAUUAAGAAAAUCAUACACGAAGGUUACUCUAAUAUACUUGAAUACACGACAGCUGGGGCCCAAACUGGGAUUAGAUACCCCACUAUGCCCAGCCGUAAACAAUUAACUCACACCAACUAACGCCAGGGAACUACGAGCCAUGCUUAAAACCCAAAGGACUUGACGGUGUCCCAUCCACCUAGAGGAGCCUGUUCUAUAAUCGAUGAUCCCCGCUAUACCUUACCCCUUUUUGCUUUCUCAGCCUGUAUACCUCCGUCGAAAGCCUACCAUAUGAACGUGUAUAGUAGGCUCAAUGAUUAUAUUUACAUCAAAACGUCAGGUCAAGGUGCAGCUCACGAAGUGGUGAGAAAUGGGCUACAGUUUCUAAUAUAGAACAAACGGAAGGUUAUGUGUAACCAUAAUCAUGAAGGCGGAUUUAGUAGUAAGAAGAAAAUAGAGUGUUCUUCUUAACCCGGCUCUGGGACGCGUACACACCGCCCGUCACCCUCUUCAAUGACUUAAACUUAGAUUUAUAA
This 824-nucleotide non-coding RNA is filed under the name Amolops hainanensis (Hainan sucker frog). RNAcentral describes it as "partial 12S ribosomal RNA". It matches the Rfam family "Bacterial small subunit ribosomal RNA". The record is from RNAcentral. Lineage: Eukaryota; Metazoa; Chordata; Amphibia; Anura; Ranidae.